ACGGCUCAGUAACACGUCGUUAACGUGCCCUUUGGUCAGGGAUACCCACGGGAAACUGUGGUUAAUACCUGAUAGGGAUUGCAACCUGGAAUGGUGCAAUCUUUCAAACUCGUGCCAAAGGAUCGGACGGCGGCGGAUUAGGUUGUUGGCGGUGUAACGGACCACCAAGCCAAAGAUCCGUACGGGCCAUGAGAGUGGUAGCCCGGAGAGGGACACUGAGAUACUGGUCCCAGCCCUACGGGGUGCAGCAGGCGCGAAACCUUUACAAUGCACGCAAGUGUGAUAAGGGAAUCCCUAGUGCUCAUGUACUGCAUGGGCUUUUGCUAAGUGUAAAUAGCUUGGCGAAUAAGUGGUGGGUAAGACUGGUGCCAGCCGCCGCGGUAACACCAGCGCCACGAGUGGUAACCACGUUUAUUGGGCCUAAAGCGUCCGUAGCCGGUUUGAUAAAUCUUUUGUGAAAUUGUUUGGCUUAACCAAACAGCGUGCAAGAGACACUGUCAAACUCGAGACCGGGAGGAGUCAGAAGUAUUCCAGAGGGAGCGGUAAAAUGUUAUAAUCUCUGGAGGACUAUCUGUGGCGAAGGCGUCUGACCAGAACGGAUCUGACGGUGAGGGACGAAAGCCAGGGGAGCGAACCGGAUUAGAUACCCGAGUAGUCCUGGCCGUAAACGCUGUGAGCUAGGUGUUGCGCCAGCUACAUGUUGGUGCAGUGUCGAAAGGAAGCUGUUAAGCUCACCGUCUGGGAAGUACGGUCGCAAGACUGAAACUUUAAGGAAUUGGCGGGGGAGCAC
This 790-nucleotide ribosomal RNA is filed under the name uncultured euryarchaeote. RNAcentral describes it as "bacterial SSU rRNA". It matches the Rfam family "Archaeal small subunit ribosomal RNA", at positions 85 to 879 of the family's 1478-position model. Lineage: Archaea; Methanobacteriati; Methanobacteriota. The record is from RNAcentral.